CAUCAGUCACAAAACAAGAUUACAGCUAUUGAAGACCUUGGGUAACCAGAGCACACUGUGAUAGGGUGGCUAUUGUUUCUUAAAUCUCCAUGAGACCUUAGGAUGCUUUUUAUGUUGUAUCCGUUGUUUCCAUUUUAUGAAGUUUAUGAUCCAGGGCACUCAUCAGUUUUCUCAUUUAUAAAAUAGAGAUAACAAACGUGUCCACUUCACAGAAUUGUUGUGAGGAAUAAAUGCAUUACAGAAGUGUAAAUAGCCUAGAAACGAUUAUUAUCAUUGUUUCUCCUUUUCUCCUGGAUUCUCCAGCAAUCUAUCAAACGAUGAACAUAUACACAUCUUGGGAAGUCCUUCUGUGCCCCCAAGUCUUCUUCCCGCUCGCACUCACCCUCAGGAACCAGGGGCACGUGCGUGGCCACCACCAUUUAAGUUACUGCAAACUUCCUUGCAGAGAGCAUGCCCUCACGCAUGUGCAAGCAGGAGGAGAUGAAUAAAGGGGGAGAAGAGAGAGAGAGAGAGAGAGAGAGAAUCUCAAGCAGACUCCACGCUCAGCACAGUGGAGCCCAACUCAAGACUCAGUCCCACAACCAUGAGAUCAUUCCCUGAACUGAAAUCAAGAGUCAGGCACUCAAUGGACUGAGCCACCCAGGUACCCCUGAUCCUUUACUUUAGAAUGAGAGUCUGGGUCUUGGUGAAAAUGAUUGAAACAUUCACACAUGUCCUUUUGAUUUCUUCUGGCAAUGCAAGGCAAGACACCCUUGUCAUUCUGUGAUAUGUCUGUUUCCUUAUGCUUUGUUUUCGUGGAGUUAGUGGUGUUCCUUGCAGUUCCUCUGUUCCAGUCUUUAAUGAACAAAUUAAAGCUUAUCAUUUCACUGUACAAUGUGGGAGGUUGAUUCUGAUGGUUUGCAAAUAUGUUAGCAUGGGUGCAUGUAGACAGAAUUAAAGUUGCUCUAGUUCCAUUUCUUGUCUUUAUAAUCACUGAGUUAUUAUUGAUUACUGCAGAUAUACAGGUUAGACUCAGGAAUAAGUACUGAACUGUGCCCAGGUUGAGGUCUAAAUGAUUCCAACUGAUCAUGCACUUACUCCUGAAACCAAUGGUUGGAGCUGAGUCUGCAUGUGUCAUAGGCUAAACGAGAACUAGUUCUCCAAAUGAACUUGAUGACAUAGGACACAAUGUUUAUGAAAGGAUAAGUAAUAAAAAUGUGUUAAUUGGAAAUUUAUUUUUUUUUAUAGAAACUAAGUAGAAACCAAAGUAGUUGUUUAGAAUUUAGACCAGAAAAAAAUUUCAGGGAGAAUUAUUUUAUCGGUGCCAUUUUUACAAUUGCAGGCUGGUAGCAAUACUAAAAAGUGGGCCACUUUUAGUUGGUUUUAUUGUUGUUUUUCAGUUCCCUUUGGAACAGUGCACUCCAUACUGCCAGCAUGAGGGUUGUUCCCACUGCCUCUCCCAUCUCCAGGCCUCCACCGCCUGAAGUCGGCCAGGCAUGCAGAAUGGGGGACAAGAGAGACUUAGGUAAGACUGUUAGGUGUCCUCUAACAGGACUUCUUCCUUGUAAACAGAAAACCAAUUUUCUUUAGGUCUCUGCCUCUCAAGAAAGGGACUCUGGGGGCGCCUGGGUGGCUCAGUCAGUUAGGCCUCUGACUUCGGCUCAGGUCAGAUCUCACGUUCGUGGGUUCGAGCCCCAUGUCGGGCUCUGUGCUGACCGCUAGCUCAGAGCCUGGAGCCUGCUUCCAUGUCUGUGUCUCCUUCUCUCUCUCUGCCCCUCCCCCUCUCAUGCUCUGUCUCUCUCUGUAUCAAAAAAUAAAUAAAACAUUAAAAAAAAAAAAAAGAAAGGGACUCUGUGCUCCAUUCAGGAAAAUAUACUGACUAAUCCAAAAUUUUGUGUCAAUUUAAUUCCCUUUGCCUGUGAUUGGGUUAGGUAUGGGUAUUUGUGGAAGUUCCAGCCAAAGAGCCGUGAAGACAAGUCUGUUGUGAAGGCUUUCAAAUCCAUCAAUGCAUCCCAGCAUAGUCUAGAGCUCAGACCAAUAAUUAAAUCACACACAUAUGUGCCUAUCUAUAUACCUAUGCAUCUAUCUAUAUAUGUAUAUGUAUGUGUAUUUACAUUUACAUUGAAAACAAGAUAAAUCAUGUCAUCUUGUUAAUACAUAUAUGUCAUCUUGUUUUCAAUCUAGAUUAGAUGUAUACUAUUGAAGUGAAUAAAAAUGCAUUCACAUAAAAGAGACACCAAAUUCAUAGUAGCUCUUUGACUUUGUAUGUUUUCUCAGCCAAAAGAUACUAGAAAGUACAAAUCUAUCAAUAUAUGUUCAUAUCUUUGUUUAAAAGAAGUCUUUUUUAAUGAACAAUCUUCUAUUUCUUUGUCAUCAUGUAGGCGUAUCCCCAGAAUUUUCUACCUACCACUAGAGGGUAGUAUAAACCAGCAAAAGGUCCAACCAUCCAGUCAGCAAUAGCAUAGGCCUAAGAACAACUAAGCAGCGAUAAACAACAACCACUUCACCAGGAUGGCCAUGUUAGGCAAAGCAAUAUAGGUCCCAUUUUUCUUUAACUCAAAAUGAACAUACCUUUACUAACUCUCAUGACUAAUCUGUGUAUUUUAACUGGUUAGACAACCUUAGACAUUAAGUGUUCACAGUCUAGAGUAAGAAUGACUGGGUUUCCGUCUCGCAUCCAUCCUUCAUAGCAGUGCAGCAUUGGAACAUUUUUCUACCUGUUUCCUUAUCUGCAAAAUGAUAGUAAUAAUAUCAACUGCAUUCUCCAUAAGUGC
Long non-coding RNA from Suricata suricatta (meerkat), 2753 nucleotides. NCBI's taxonomy places the organism in Eukaryota, Metazoa, Chordata, Mammalia, Carnivora, Herpestidae. The record is from Ensembl.